UUUAUGGGUACUACAGUCUACAUACAGGUACUACAGUCUACAUACAGGUACUACAAUCUACAUACAGGUACUACAGUCUACAUACAGGUAGUACAGUCUGCAUACAGGUACUACAAUCUGUUUAAAGGUACUACAGUCUACAUACAGGUACUACAAUCUGUUUAAAGGUACUACAGUCUACAUACAGG
Labrus mixtus (cuckoo wrasse) is the source of this 188-nucleotide long non-coding RNA. RefSeq lists it as uncharacterized. The record is from RefSeq and is a predicted model, not a curated record. NCBI's taxonomy places the organism in Eukaryota, Metazoa, Chordata, Actinopteri, Labriformes, Labridae. The transcript has 3 exons.